Molecule: ribosomal RNA, 453 nt
Filed under: uncultured Sphingomonadaceae bacterium
Lineage: Bacteria; Pseudomonadati; Pseudomonadota; Alphaproteobacteria; Sphingomonadales; Sphingomonadaceae
Description: bacterial SSU rRNA
Rfam family: Bacterial small subunit ribosomal RNA
Source: RNAcentral
AGAGUUUGAUCCUGGCUCAGAACGAACGCUGGCGGCAUGCCUAACACAUGCAAGUCGAACGAGACCUCCGGGUCUAGUGGCGCACGGGUGCGUAACGCGUGGGAAUCUGCCCUUGGGUUCGGGAUAACAGUUGGAAACGACUGCUAAUACCGAAUGAUAUCUUCGGAUCAAAGAUUUAUCGCCCAGGGAUGAGCCCGCGUAGGAUUAGCUUGUUGGUGAGGUAAGAGCUCACCAAGGCGACGAUCCUUAGCUGGUCUGAGAGGAUGAUCAGCCACACUGGGACUGAGACACGGCCCAGACUCCUACGGGAGGCAGCAGUGGGGAAUAUUGGACAAUGGGCGAAAGCCUGAUCCAGCAAUGCCGCGUGAGUGAUGAGGGCCUUAGGGUUGUAAAGCUCUUUUACCCGGGAUGAUAAUGACAGUACCGGGAGAAUAAGCCCCGGCUAACUCCGUG